RNAcentral lists this ribosomal RNA (253 nucleotides) under uncultured bacterium. Its description in RNAcentral is "partial 16S ribosomal RNA". It matches the Rfam family "Bacterial small subunit ribosomal RNA", at positions 524 to 776 of the family's 1533-position model. The record is from RNAcentral.
UACGGGGGGUGCAAACGUUGCUCGGAAUUAUUGGGCGUAAAGCGCACGUAGGCGGUCUUGUAAGUCGGGUGUGAAAGCCCGGGGCUUAACCCCGGAAGUGCACUCGAAACUGCAAGGCUUGAGUACGGAAGAGGGUCUCGGAAUUCCCGGUGUAGAGGUGAAAUUCGUAGAUAUCGGGAGGAACACCAGUGGCGAAGGCGGCGACCUGGGCCAAUACUGACGCUGAGGUGCGAAAGCGUGGGGAGCAAACAGG